RNAcentral lists this ribosomal RNA (462 nucleotides) under uncultured bacterium. RNAcentral's name for it is "partial 16S ribosomal RNA". It matches the Rfam family "Bacterial small subunit ribosomal RNA", at positions 28 to 507 of the family's 1533-position model. The record is from RNAcentral.
GAUGAACGCUGACAGAAUGCUUAACACAUGCAAGUCUUUGGCGAAUCUGUGCUUGCACAGCCUAGCCAAGGCGGACGGGUGAGUAACGCGUAAGGAACUUGCCCUGCAGUCAGGGAUAACAGACGGAAACGACUGAUAGACCCUGUUAAGUUAAGCGGGAUCCUGUUCAGCCCGUUUAAAAGUGAUGCUGCAGGAGAUCCUUGCGUCCUAGUAGCUUGGUGGUGGGGUAACGGCCCACCAAGGCGAUGAUAGGUAGCCGGACUGAGAGGGUGGACGGCCACAAGGGGAAUGAGAUACGGCCCUUACUCCUACGGGAGGCAGCAGUGGGGAAUAUUGGACAAUGGGGGCAACCCUGAUCCAGCAAUUCUGUGUGCACGAUGAAGGUUUUCGGAUUGUAAAGUGCUUUCAGAAGGGAAGAAAAAAAUGACGGUACCUGCAGAAGAAGCGACGGCUAAAUACGUG